Molecule: ribosomal RNA, 253 nt
Filed under: uncultured bacterium
Lineage: Bacteria
Description: partial 16S ribosomal RNA
Rfam family: Bacterial small subunit ribosomal RNA
Source: RNAcentral
UACGGGGGGGGCAAGCGUUGUUCGGAAUUAUUGGGCGUAAAGAGCUCGUAGGCGGGUUGUUGCGUCGGCUGUGAAAUCCCGAGGCUCAACCUCGGGUCUGCAGUCGAUACGAGCAAACUAGAGUGUUGCAGGGGAGACUGGAAUUCCUGGUGUAGCGGUGAAAUGCGCAGAUAUCAGGAAGAACACCCGUGGCGAAGGCGGCUCUCUGGGACGGUACUGACGCUGAGACGCGAAAGCGUGGGGAGCGAACAGG